RNAcentral lists this ribosomal RNA (305 nucleotides) under uncultured bacterium. RNAcentral's name for it is "bacterial SSU rRNA". It matches the Rfam family "Bacterial small subunit ribosomal RNA", at positions 333 to 655 of the family's 1533-position model. The record is from RNAcentral.
UAGAUCCUACGGGGCGCAGCAGUGGGGAAUAUUGCGCAAUGGGGGCAACCCUGACGCAGCAACGCCGCGUGAUUGAAGAAGGCCUUCGGGUUGUAAAGAUCUUUAAUCGGGGACGAAUUUUGACGGUACCCGAAGAAUAAACUCCGGCUAACUACGUGCCAGCAGCCGCGGUAAUACGUAGGGAGCAAGCGUUAUCCGGAUUUACUGGGUGUAAAGGGUGCGCAGGCGGAAUGUCAAGUCAGCGGUAAAAUUUCGGGGCUCAACCCCGUCGUGCCGUUGAAACUGGCGUUCUUGAGUGAGCGAGA